CUUUGCGGAAAACUGCACGCGAGCUGUCAAUGUGGUAGCUUCCGGUGGUCUACUCUCAGAGCGCUAUCUAGAGAAGGCAGAGCCUACAAGCAGGGCAGAGCUCAACACCGCCUCCCUCAGUAAGUACAAGAACGUGAUUGACAGCUGUGGAGGAUGGGGGCUGUUCCAGGAGCUGCUGGUUGCCUUGGAGAUGGUCGCCAGGGGCCACGGCUGCUCCAUCGCCAACGUGGCUACCCACUAUGUCCUGGACCGGCCUGCUGUGGGUGGAGUCAUCGUGGGCUGUCAUCUCGGUGUUGCCGGGGCAGAACACAGAGGACAGCCUCCACGGCUGCAGCCCAGAAUUGGAACUCACGGCGCAAGACCUGCGCACCAUCGAUGGUGUGGUGCAGCGCUCGCGUGACCUCAUGAGCCUCAUCGGAGACUGGAGACGAGUACAGGAACUAGAGGAGAAUGGAGAGGAUGGACCAGAUCUCACCCAUCUACACACAAUACCCCAUGACAAAUUGAAAACAUGUUUUUAGAAAUGUUAGUAAAUUUAUUGAAAAUGAAAUACUAAUAUCUAAUUUACAUAAGUAUUCACACCCCUGAGUCAAUAAAUGUUAUAAUUUUUUUAACCUUUACUUAACGAGGCAAGUCGGUUAGGAACAAUUUCUUAUUUACAAUGACGGCCUACCAUGGCCAAAUCUUUGGCAGCGAUUCCAGCUGUGAGUCUUCUGGGUAAGUCUCUAAGACAUUUGCACACCUGGAUUGUACAAUAUUUGCACAGUAUUCUUUGUAAAAUUCGUCAAGCUCCGUCAAGUUGGUUGUUGAUCAUUCCAAGACAGCCAUUUAAGUCUAGCCAUAGAUUUCCAAGGCCAUUUUAAGUCAAAACUGUACCUAGGCCUCUCAGGAAAAUUCAAUGUAAUCUUGUUAAGUGUAUAUUUGGCCUUGUGUUUUAGGCUAUUGUCCUGCUGAAAGUUGAUUUUUUUUUUUUUAGGAUAAAAAGAAAUGGAAUAAAACUCCCGAGUCUUUGUUGAUGACAGGCAUAACCAUAACAUGAUGCAGCCAGCAUGUGUGAAAAUAUGAAGAGUGGUACUCAGUGAUUUGCCCCAAACAUACAACACUUUGUAUUCAGGGCAUAGUUAAUUUCUUUGCCAAACAUGUUGCAGUUUUACUUUAGUGCCUUAUUGCAAACAGGAUGCAUGUUUUGGAAUUUUUGUAUUCUGUACGGGCUUCCUUCUUUUCACUGUCAUUUAGGUUAGUAUUGUGGGGUAACUACAAUGUUGUUGAUCCAUCCUCAGUUUCUCCUAUCACAGCCAUUAAAAUCUGAAACUGUAUUAAAGUCACCAUUGGCCUCCAGGUGAAAUCCCUGAGCAGUUUCCUUCAUCUCCGGCUACUGAGUUAGGAAGGACACCUGUAACUUUGUAGUGACCGGGUGUAUUGAUACACCAUCCAAAGUGUAAUUAAUAACUUCACCAUGCUCAAAGGGAUAUUCAAUGUCUGCUUAUUUAAUUACAUUCUUUACCCAUCUACCAAUAGGUACCACCCUUUGCGAGACAUUGGAAAACCUCCCUGGUCUUUGUGGUUGAAUCUGUGUUUGAAAUUCACUGCUCGACUGAGCAACCUUAAAUAUGAUUGUAUGUGUGGGGUACAGAGAUGAGGUAGUCAUUCAAAAAUCAUGUUAAACACUAUUAUUGCAACUUAUUAUGUGACUUGUUCAGCACAUUUUUAUUGCUGAACUUAUUUAGGCUUGCCAUAACAAAGGGGUUGAAUACUUAUUGACUCAAGACAUUUCAGCUUUUCAUUUUGUAUUCAUUUCUAAACAUUUCCAAAAACAUCAUUCCACUUUGACUUAAUGGGGUAUUGUGUGUAGGCCAGUGACACAAAAUCUCCACGUGAUCCAUUUUAAAUUCAGGCAGUAUCAACAUGUAACAAAAUGUGGAUAAAGUCAAG
Long non-coding RNA from Oncorhynchus tshawytscha (Chinook salmon), 1932 nucleotides. The record is from Ensembl. Lineage: Eukaryota; Metazoa; Chordata; Actinopteri; Salmoniformes; Salmonidae.